This 125-nucleotide microRNA precursor is filed under the name Hordeum vulgare. Its description in RNAcentral is "microRNA MIR1122". It matches the Rfam family "MIR1120/MIR1122 microRNA precursor family". The record is from RNAcentral. Lineage: Eukaryota; Viridiplantae; Streptophyta; Magnoliopsida; Poales; Poaceae.
GAUAUACUCCCUCCGUCCGGAAAUACUUGUCGGAGAAAUGAAUGUAUCUAAACAUAUUUUAGUUCUAGAUACAUUCAUUUUUAUUAAUUUUUGUGACAAGUAUUUCCAGAUGGAGGGAGUAUGUA